GGCAGCCGUAGCGAAAGCGAGUCUUAAUAGGGCGUAUGAGUCGCAUGUUCUAGACCCGAAGCGAAGUGAUCUAUCCAUGGCCAGGUUGAAGCGACGGUAAGACGUCGUGGAGGACCGAACCCACUUCAGUUGAAAAUGGAGGGGAUGAGCUGUGGAUAGGGGUGAAAGGCCAAUCAAACUUCGUGAUAGCUGGUUCUCUCCGAAAUGCAUUUAGGUGCAGCGUUGCGUGUUUCUCGCCGGAGGUAGAGCUACUGGAUGGCCGAUGGGCCUCAACAGGUUACUGACGUCAGCCAAACUCCGAAUGCCGGUGAGUGAGAGCGCAGCAGUGAGACGGUGGGGGAUAAGCUUCAUCGUCGAGAGGGAAACAACCCAGACUACCAACUAAGGUCCCUAAGCGUGUGCUAAGUGGGAAAGGAUGUGGAGUUGCACAGACAACCAGGAGGUUGGCUUAGAAGCAGCCACCCUUGAAAGAGUGCGUAAUAGCUCACUGGUCAAGUGAUUCCGCGCCGACAAUGUAACGGGGCUCAAGCACACCACCGAAGUUGUAGAUUUCGCACUAUAGACAAGCCUUCGUGGUUCAGUCGUGCGGAGUGGUAGGAGAGCGUCGUGUGGCGAGUGAAGCGGCGGAGUGAUCCAGCCGUGGACGCUACACGAGUGAGAAUGCAGGCAUGAGUAGCGAAAGACGGGUGAGAAACCCGUCCUCCGAAAGACCAAGGGUUCCAGGGCCAGGUUAAUCCGCCCUGGGUAAGUCGGGACCUAAGGCGAGGCCGACAGGCGUAGUCGAUGGACAACGGGUUGAUAUUCCCGUACCGGCGAACAACCGCCCAAGCUAAUCCAGUGGUGCUAAGAGUCCUAACCCGGUACAACCGGAUCCCUUCGGGGUGAUGGUGGCCGGUCUAACGCUCGACCCCAUGCUGGUGCGGUUAGCGUAUGAACAGGUGUGACGCAGGAAGGUAGCUGAGCCAGGCGAUGGUAUCCGUAAGGUGAACCUGGUGUAAGGAUGUAGGGCUGACGAUAGGCAAAUCCGUCGUCUGUGUGCCUGAGAUCCGACGCGUACCCGUAAGGGGAAAUCAGUGAUCCUAUGCUGCCGAGAAAAGCAUCGACGCGAGGUUGCAGCCGCCCGUACCCGAAACCGACUCAGGUGGUCAGGUAGAGAAUACCAAGGAGAUCGAGAGAAUCGUGGUUAAGGAACUCGGCAAAAUGCCUCCGUAACUUCGGGAGAAGGGGGGCCGGACACGUGACCGGAUUU
RNAcentral lists this ribosomal RNA (1249 nucleotides) under Bifidobacteriaceae bacterium. RNAcentral's name for it is "partial 23S ribosomal RNA". It matches the Rfam family "Bacterial large subunit ribosomal RNA", at positions 661 to 1770 of the family's 2925-position model. The record is from RNAcentral. Lineage: Bacteria; Bacillati; Actinomycetota; Actinomycetes; Bifidobacteriales; Bifidobacteriaceae.